CUUUUUAUGGAAGUAAGCCCAGGGGCAGGCUCCCAGUUCAACUGGUGGCAGGAAACUCUCAGUACCAACAAGGAUCUAUGUUGCCUGUGUGCUCAGGUGCUGAGGAUACUGUGGUGAACAGCAUACCUAGGAAGGCAGGACCACCAAAAUGCACUGCGCCGCAUCCACUGUCUAGUCCUUCCACAUCCUCAAGUGUUAGGUGGACACAGAGACUGUUUCCUGGAUACCUUGCAGCUAAGUGUGGGCUAUGUGAUAGAAUCACAUUCAAGCAGUAUGAUAACAGAUGCAAAAGCCCAUCAAAGCUUUUCCCGAGAGCCCAGGGUCAGCAGAAACCCAGCCUUACAGACACACUUUUUAGAGCUCUUGACAUUUCCUCAAAGAAAGAACGGUCCUCUGUCUUUGAAGAUUGACAUUCUCUGGCACCAAGCGGGAAUACUGCUAGCAAAUCUUUUCCCUUUCUUAAAGUAGCUGUAAAAAGGAUGAUUAAACCAUAGAAAUGGGAGCAUCACUGAAAAAAAGAAGUUUUGUAAAGAUCAGCAUGGUGCAGUUCAGAGUGUUUAGGAUCUAUCAGUAUCUGGAAUCAGCAGAUACAGGUUCAAAAUCAUUCUGUAAAUGUUCCACCACUGGAAAACUUUCAAAAUAUCAGACAGCCA
Heterocephalus glaber (naked mole-rat) is the source of this 653-nucleotide long non-coding RNA. The record is from Ensembl. NCBI's taxonomy places the organism in Eukaryota, Metazoa, Chordata, Mammalia, Rodentia, Bathyergidae.